AGCACAGUAGGCUGUUUGAGUGGCACUACUAGCCGGCCUGAACGGAGGGCAAGAUUGGCUCUCGUGUAGUUUAGUUUGGCCUCAAAGUGCCUAUGAAGAUUCAGGAUGACCGUCAGUUCCUGAUCCUCCUGCCAUCAUCUCCCAUUGAUAUUACAGACCCUAUGUUCACUCCCAGUUUUAACUAUGUACAAAAGGUAAGAAGUCUCUUUAGCUGUAACAAUCCAUGUGUCAGAGUAAAGCUUCCAACUCAACUGUGUAACACUUUCCUUUUUCUUCUCUCUGGUCCUUACUUCUUUCUGCUACUUAAUUUCAGUUCCUCAUGCUCUGAAGAUCCCAUUUGCCUCGAGUUUCUUACAUAGACAUCAUAAGCAGUAC
This is a long non-coding RNA of Grammomys surdaster, 375 nucleotides long. RefSeq lists it as uncharacterized. The transcript is spliced from 3 exons. The record is from RefSeq and is a predicted model, not a curated record. Lineage: Eukaryota; Metazoa; Chordata; Mammalia; Rodentia; Muridae.